ACUAUGCAUAAAAAAGUACUAAUGAAUUUAAUCCUGCAAUCUCUAAUUUAUAUAGAUAGUUUAUGAAACUAUUAUAUAAAUAAAUGUUAAAGCACCUUAACUGAAUUGGUCAAUAUGCUGGUAACUAAGGGACCUUGAAAAGUUCAGAGGUAUAAAUCUGAAAAACCUAAAGAAUCAUUUACAUACCUUCAGAAGGUAUGUCGAAUUGCUCAAAUUUGAUCUUACAAUUUUUUCUUUUUCAUUAGACUCUAGUGUAUAUUAUGCACUUUAACAUAAGGUUUA
Molecule: long non-coding RNA, 282 nt
Filed under: Elaeis guineensis (African oil palm)
Lineage: Eukaryota; Viridiplantae; Streptophyta; Magnoliopsida; Arecales; Arecaceae
Description: long non-coding RNA (EGUI_LNC060367)
Source: RNAcentral